GAUGAACGCUGGCGGCGUGCCUAAUACAUGCAAGUAGAACGCUGAAGGAAGGAGCUUGCUCUUUCCGGAUGAGUUGCGAACGGGUGAGUAACGCGUAGGUAACCUGCCUGGUAGCGGGGGAUAACUAUUGGAAACGAUAGCUAAUACCGCAUAACAGUAGAUGUUGCAUGACAACUAUUUGAAAGGGGCAAUUGCUCCACUACCAGAUGGACCUGCGUUGUAUUAGCUAGUUGGUGAGGUAACGGCUCACCAAGGCGACGAUACAUAGCCGACCUGAGAGGGUGAUCGGCCACGCUGGGACUGGGACACGGCCCAGAACACUACGGGAGGGAGCAGGAGGGAACCUUCGGCAUUGGACGGAAGGCGGAACGAGCAACGACGGGUGAGAGAAGAAGGUUGUCGGAUCGUAAAGGUCAGUUGUAAGAGAAGAACGAGUGUGAGAGUGGAAAGUGCACACUGUGACGGUAUCUGAGCAGAAAGGGACGGCUAACUACGUG
RNAcentral lists this ribosomal RNA (497 nucleotides) under uncultured bacterium. RNAcentral describes it as "partial 16S ribosomal RNA". It matches the Rfam family "Bacterial small subunit ribosomal RNA", at positions 28 to 507 of the family's 1533-position model. The record is from RNAcentral.